Molecule: ribosomal RNA, 562 nt
Filed under: uncultured bacterium
Lineage: Bacteria
Description: partial 16S ribosomal RNA
Rfam family: Bacterial small subunit ribosomal RNA
Source: RNAcentral
UGGGGAAUCUUAGACAAUGGGGGAAACCCUGAUCUAGCCAUGCCGCGUGAGCGAUGAAGGCCUUAGGGUUGUAAAGCUCUUUCAGCUGGGAAGAUAAUGACGGUACCAGCAGAAGAAGCCCCGGCUAACUCCGUGCCAGCAGCCGCGGUAAUACGGAGGGGGCUAGCGUUGUUCGGAAUUACUGGGCGUAAAGCGCACGUAGGCGGAUUAGUCAGUCAGAGGUGAAAUCCCAGGGCUCAACCCUGGAACUGCCUUUGAUACUGCUAGUCUUGAGGUCGAGAGAGGUGAGUGGAAUUCCGAGUGUAGAGGUGAAAUUCGUAGAUAUUCGGAGGAACACCAGUGGCGAAGGCGGCUCACUGGCUCGAUACUGACGCUGAGGUGCGAAAGCGUGGGGAGCAAAACAGGAUUAGAUACCCUGGUAGUCCACGCCGUAAACGAUGAAUGCCAGUCGUCGGGUUGCAUGCAAUUCGGGUGACACACCUAACGGAUUAAGCAUUCCGCCUGGGGAGUACGGUCGCAAGAUUAAACUUAAAGGAAUUGACGGGGUCAUAGCUGUUUCCUG